CGGGACGGGGUGGAGGUAACGACGUGGGAGUAAACCGCCUCACACAGGGGAGUAACAGUUAGAAAUGACUGCUAAUACCGCAUAAGCGCACAGUACCGCAUGGUACAGUGUGAAAAACUCCGGUGGUGUGAGAUGGAUCCGCGUCUGAUUAGGUAGUUGGUGGGGUAACGGCCCACCAAGCCGACGAUCAGUAGCCGACCUGAGAGGGUGACCGGCCACAUUGGGACUGAGACACGGCCCAA
This 242-nucleotide ribosomal RNA is filed under the name uncultured bacterium. Its description in RNAcentral is "partial 16S ribosomal RNA". It matches the Rfam family "Bacterial small subunit ribosomal RNA", at positions 104 to 334 of the family's 1533-position model. The record is from RNAcentral.